AGUGAACGCUGGCGGUAGGCCUAACACAUGCAAGUCGAACGGCAGCACAGGAGAGCUUGCUCUCUGGGUGGCGAGUGGCGGACGGGUGAGGAAUACAUCGGAAUCUACUUUUUCGUGGGGGAUAACGUAGGGAAACUUACGCUAAUACCGCAUACGACCUACGGGUGAAAGCAGGGGAUCUUCGGACCUUGCGCGAUUGAAUGAGCCGAUGUCGGAUUAGCUAGUUGGCGGGGUAAAGGCCCACCAAGGCGACGAUCCGUAGCUGGUCUGAGAGGAUGAUCAGCCACACUGGAACUGAGACACGGUCCAGACUCCUACGGGAGGCAGCAGUGGGGAAUAUUGGACAAUGGGCGCAAGCCUGAUCCAGCCAUACCGCGUGGGUGAAGAAGGCCUUCGGGUUGUAAAGCCCUUUUGUUGGGAAAGAAAUCCAGCUGGUUAAUACCCGGUUGGGAUGACGGUACCCAAAGAAUAAGCACCGGCUAACUUCGUGCCAGCCGCCGCCGUAA
This 506-nucleotide ribosomal RNA is filed under the name uncultured bacterium. RNAcentral describes it as "partial 16S ribosomal RNA". It matches the Rfam family "Bacterial small subunit ribosomal RNA", at positions 29 to 523 of the family's 1533-position model. The record is from RNAcentral.